CUACGGGUGGCUCCAGUGGGGAAUAUUGCACAAUGGGCGCAAGCCUGAUGCAGCCAUGCCGCGUGUAUGAAGAAGGCCUUCGGGUUGUAAAGUACUUUCAGCGGGGAGGAAGGGAGUAAAGUUAAUACCUUUGCUCAUUGACGUUACCCGCAGAAGAAGCACCGGCUAACUCCGCUGCCAGCAGCCGCGGUAAUACGGAGGGUGCAAGCGUUAAUCGGAAUUACUGGGCGUAAAGCGCACGCAGGCGGUUUGUUAAGUCAGAUGCGAAAUCCCCGGGCUCAACCUGGGAACUGCAUCUGAUACUGGCAAGCUUGAGUCUCGUAGAGGGGGGUAGAAUUCCAGGUGUAGCGGUGAAAUGCGUAGAGAUCUGGAGGAAUACCGGUGGCGAAGGCGGCCCCCUGGACGAAGACUGACGCUCAGGUGCGAAAGCGUGGGGAGCAAACAGGAUUAGAUACCCCGGUAGUC
RNAcentral lists this ribosomal RNA (465 nucleotides) under uncultured bacterium. Its description in RNAcentral is "partial 16S ribosomal RNA". It matches the Rfam family "Bacterial small subunit ribosomal RNA", at positions 339 to 795 of the family's 1533-position model. The record is from RNAcentral.